GAUGAACGCUGGCGGCGUGCCUAAUACAUGCAAGUAGAACGCUGAAGGAGGAGCUUGCUCUUCUGGAUGAGUUGCGAACGGGUGAGUAACGCGUAGGUAACCUGCCUGGUAGCGGGGGAUAACUAUUGGAAACGAUAGCUAAUACCGCAUGACAACAGUUAUUGCAUGAUAACUGUUUAAAAGGGGCAACUGCUCCACUACCAGUUGGACCUGCGUUGUAUUAGCUAGUUGGUGAGGUAACGGCUCACCAAGGCGACGAUACAUAGCCGACCUGAGAGGGUGAUCGGCCACCCUGGGACUGAGACACGGCCCAGACUCCUACGGGAGGCAGCAGUAGGGAAUCUUCGGCAAUGGACGGAAGUCUGACCGAGCAACGCCGCGUGAGGGAAGAAGGUUUUCGGAUCGUAAAGCUCUGUUGUAAGAGAAGAACGAGUGUGAGAGUGGAAAGUUCACACUGUGACGGUAUCUUACCAGAAAGAGACGGCUAACUACGUG
This 495-nucleotide ribosomal RNA is filed under the name uncultured bacterium. RNAcentral describes it as "partial 16S ribosomal RNA". It matches the Rfam family "Bacterial small subunit ribosomal RNA", at positions 28 to 507 of the family's 1533-position model. The record is from RNAcentral.